AGCUCCAAUAGCGUAUAUUAAAGUUGUUGCAGUUAAAAAGCUCGUAGUCGAACUUCAGGCCUGGCCGGGCGGUCCGCCUAACGGCGAGUACUGUCUGGCUGGGCCUUACCUCUUGGUGAGCCGGCAUGCCCUUCACUGGGUGUGCCGGUGAACCAGGACUUUUACCUUGAGAAAAUUAGAGUGUUCAAAGCAGGCCUAUGCCCGAAUACAUUAGCAUGGAAUAAUAAAAUAGGACGUGUGGUUCUAUUUUGUUGGUUUUUAGAGUCACCGUAAUGAUUAAUAGGGAUAGUUGGGGGCAUUAGUAUUCAGUUGCUAGAGGUGAAAUUCUUGGAUUUACUGAAGACUAACUUCUGCGAAAGCAUUUGCCAAGGAUGUUUUCA
RNAcentral lists this ribosomal RNA (380 nucleotides) under uncultured eukaryote. Its description in RNAcentral is "SSU rRNA". It matches the Rfam family "Eukaryotic small subunit ribosomal RNA", at positions 587 to 972 of the family's 1831-position model. The record is from RNAcentral.